UAAAAUGCGACUAAUGUCGUGCGGCAAUUUCAGUAUACGAAAGUUAUUUGCUGCUGCCGCACUUACGUCGUGGUAGUGGUGAUUGGUGUUGGAGGUCGCGUACGCGUCGGAGUAAAACUUGUGUGUUCAUGUUCGGUGUGAUAAGAAUUGCUUUAUAUUUGACGGAUUGCAGUGAUGAAUGAUAAAUAUUGAAAUAUGGAAUGCAACUUGGCUAUCAAUUACGGCCGGGGCAUAAAUGGAGUGUUCAAAAUACGGUUGGAAAAUAAGUGAAGGUGUAUCAGCUUAAGAGUGGAAAGUUGGAGUGAUGAAUUGAGUUGGGUGAAUGGUGAAAGUGUAAGAAAAGAAAUUAAAAAUAAAAUAAAAAACACAAAUUAAUAGGACCAAAACAUAGCGCAAGGUAAAUAUGAAAAAGAUGUUGCAUGCAGCAUAAGAAAACAAAAACGAAUUUUUCGCAUUUUGCAACAAAACGAACGAAGUAUUGAAGUAUACAAAAAAAAAAACAAAAAGAAAAAAACAUCAACCUGCUGUCAUGCCCAUACCUGCUCCUGUGCAGCUCACAUUUUUGUGCAAAAAUUGUGAUUGGUAAACAUCGAAUUAAUUAAUUCCGUUACUUCGUGCCAGUGUUGCAUACUGUGGUUCUCCAAUGCGGCAUAGCAAAUUUUUGGGCAGCAAACAAGUAAACAAACAUAGUUGAUUGACUAAUUGAUUGAUUGAUUGAUUCGCAAUACCGUUUUGAGAAUAGCUUUUCUAACCGCUCAUAUUUGACGAAUGAUACGAAUUGUAAGCGCGGACGAAAAUCGAAACAUCAAAUGUUGUUUUGCAACAACAAUUAAGUGUAGUGCAGUGAGUUGUGCGUUUGAAAUGUGACGAUGCCAGAAGUUGUUGGCAAGCUGUGUUCAAGGAAAGUGUACAAUUUGGUGCUGUAACUACACACAUACAUACAUAUGCACGAGAGAAAGUAAACAGAAAUUGGCUGCGUAGCUGACUUCAAGUAGUCUGUAGAAUUCUGUGGAUUUGGUGCACGCAAUGAAAGAACAACGAUCUUCUAAGGUGCUUAGAAAAACAAAAUAAUUGCCAAGAAUAGUAAUGGCCAAUAACUGCGAAGCAUAGCUUAACGGUCUUGUUAUGCAGCCACACAUACGCAGAUACAACUUUCUGCACCUUGUACAGCCAUAACUCCCUUAAAUUGUGUGGACAUAAAAAAAUCCCAUUAAAAUUAUGACUCGAACACAAUGAGCAGCCAACAGCAACAAGCAAGGUGAAGAAAGCAAUAAAAUGCCAAAUUAUUCUUUUUGCGAAUUUGAAAGCCACACAAAAGUUAUAUAUUGCGGUAGGUAUUAAUUGAAGUGCAAAUACUUUAACAUUGCAGUUUGGCGAAUUUUAUUGUACUGUUUUGCUGUGGAUCGCAAACGAAUGGGAAUAUAAAUGGCAGCGCUAAAAAUAGAACAAACAAAAUUAAAUUUGGUGGACAUCGAAAGUAUUG
This is a long non-coding RNA of Anastrepha ludens (Mexican fruit fly), 1483 nucleotides long. RefSeq lists it as uncharacterized. The record is from RefSeq and is a predicted model, not a curated record. Lineage: Eukaryota; Metazoa; Arthropoda; Insecta; Diptera; Tephritidae. The transcript has 2 exons.